UACGUAGGGUGCAAGCGUUAAUCGGAAUUACUGGGCGUAAAGCGUGCGCAGGCGGUUUUGUGAGUCUGAUGUGAAAUCCCCGGGCUCAACCUGGGAAUUGCAUUGGAGACUGCAAGGCUAGAAUCUGGCAGAGGGGGGUAGAAUUCCACGUGUAGCAGUGAAAUGCGUAGAGAUGUGGAGGAACACCGAUGGCGAAGGCAGCCCCCUGGGUCAAGAUUGACGCUCAUGCACGAAAGCGUGGGGAGCAAACAGG
This 253-nucleotide ribosomal RNA is filed under the name uncultured bacterium. RNAcentral's name for it is "partial 16S ribosomal RNA". It matches the Rfam family "Bacterial small subunit ribosomal RNA", at positions 524 to 776 of the family's 1533-position model. The record is from RNAcentral.